Molecule: transfer RNA, 73 nt
Filed under: Stegodyphus mimosarum
Lineage: Eukaryota; Metazoa; Arthropoda; Arachnida; Araneae; Eresidae
Rfam family: tRNA
About the family: Transfer RNA (tRNA) molecules are approximately 80 nucleotides in length. Their secondary structure includes four short double-helical elements and three loops (D, anti-codon, and T loops). Further hydrogen bonds mediate the characteristic L-shaped molecular structure. tRNAs have two regions of fundamental functional importance: the anti-codon, which is responsible for specific mRNA codon recognition, and the 3' end, to which the tRNAs corresponding amino acid is attached (by aminoacyl-tRNA synthetases). tRNAs cope with the degeneracy of the genetic code in two manners: having more than one tRNA (with a specific anti-codon) for a particular amino acid; and 'wobble' base-pairing, i.e. permitting non-standard base-pairing at the 3rd anti-codon position.
Source: Rfam by way of RNAcentral
GCCUUCAUGGUGUAGUGGUCAGCACACUCGACGCGUAUUCGAGAGUUCCGAGGUUCGAGUCCCGGGAAGGGCA